AUUGAACGCUGGCGGCAUGCCUUACACAUGCAAGUCGAACGGCAGCACGGGGGCAACCCUGGUGGCGAGUGGCGAACGGGUGAGUAAUACAUCGGAACGUGUCCUGUAGUGGGGGAUAGCCCGGCGAAAGCCGGAUUAAUACCGCAUACGCUCUACGGAGGAAAGGGGGGGAUCUUAGGACCUCCCGCUACAGGGGCGGCCGAUGGCAGAUUAGCUAGUUGGUGGGGUAAAGGCCUACCAAGGCGACGAUCUGUAGCUGGUCUGAGAGGACGACCAGCCACACUGGGACUGAGACACGGCCCAGACUCCUACGGGAGGCAGCAGUGGGGAAUUUUGGACAAUGGGCGAAAGCCUGAUCCAGCAAUGCCGCGUGUGUGAAGAAGGCCUUCGGGUUGUAAAGCACUUUUGUCCCGGAAAGAAAAACGCCGUGGGUAA
Molecule: ribosomal RNA, 435 nt
Filed under: Burkholderia sp. oral taxon C87
Lineage: Bacteria; Pseudomonadati; Pseudomonadota; Betaproteobacteria; Burkholderiales; Burkholderiaceae
Description: bacterial SSU rRNA
Rfam family: Bacterial small subunit ribosomal RNA
Source: RNAcentral